UUGUUUUGAAUAAUCGACCACAAAUGCAUGAUCAUACAAACUUUCAUCAUUGAAUCAACACAAUGAAAAUCUCGUAGAUCCAAAAUCCUGAACAUGAUAACAAAAAUUAAACUCUCACAAGGAGAGACCAAACAAAACCUAAAUAAAUUGUAAACCUACUUAAAAAAAACAAUAGAUUAUUUAAGAAUAUUAAAAAGAAGAAAAGAUUAGGGCUUUUUGUAACAACCAUGAAAUUCAUAAAGUACGUAAAAAUAUAGUUACUUAAAUUAGUUAUUUAUUGUGCAACAAUACUAUUUUAUUAGUCUCGGAUUUAGAUUUAUAAUACGAGAAGAAUUAGCUAAAAAUGUUUUAGCUACAAGAAUUCUAGAAAACACGUAGUGUGAUACUGUGUGAGGCAGUCGUUUAAUUUAAAUAUGUAAUAUUAACACGAGAGCUUCGUUUAUACGAAAAUAUAAUAGCCCCGAAUAUUUAUUUAUUUAACGAGUCGUGAAUAAAUAUUACGUUUUACCCGAGACGAUUAUUUUAUUUCUAUCAUCCUAUAAAAUCAGGGCAGUGGCAUGAAAAUAUUAAAAUAUCUGAUAAUAUAUUAUUUACGAUAUUUAAUAUUCGUGUUUGGUAAAACCGAUACGAGAAUAAUAGGAAUAAGUGUAUGAAUUUAAAUACUGGCGAGACGUUGCUAAUUCGGGUGCAAGAAUUAUUACUUGGCGCUCAAGUAAGAUUACUUGAGGCCCAAGUAAUGCUUUAAUUAGUAGUAGAUUAUUGGGUCACUAAGAAAAUAUCGUGAUUAGUGGUGAUGUAUAAAAACCCAAAAAUUGGGCAAUUCAACUACCAAACAAGACAUUUGUGAGGUAGUAAAAGGGAACUCAGAGUUAACAAAGGGAUUGGCGAUUUACCAAAGGAAAGAAGACAAAUAUUUGGUGAGACUUAAAAGGAGUUACUGUGGGUUCUUUGAUAUUGCCAUCCUUAUUUGCUGCAUCUAGUGUAGUUUCCCCCUCUACACUCCCCACUUUCCACUUCAUCGGCUUCUAUGGUUCUUUUCUGUGGAACUGUUUGGGCCUUUUGAAGGGAUUUAGGUAGUCUUGAAGUUCUGGAUAGAGUGUAUGGGGUAUAAUGCGGGUUAGCUUGAGCUGGGUCUACUCUAGCUUCAUCCUCGAUAGAAAAGAUAAAUGGGUUAUCUUUGAAUGAGGAACCAAGGUUGGUCACUUGGUCACUCAUGUGCUUCGUAUAGUGCAGUGUAAUGUCACUGUGUGGAUUUGAAUUAAUGAGUGUAGUGUGUGUAUUCUUUUUCAAAACCAAACACUCCCUUGUAUUGGAAGCAUUUGCAGCAAUACCGCAAACAUUAUUCAAAAACAUAGUGAUAAAGCGAGGGUAGACUGAUACCUUUCUGAUUAUGGCAGAACGAAGUUGAGCCAUGAUCAUCUUACCCAAGUUCACCUUGUACCCGUGAACCAUUGAGUGAGUAAACUUCCAGAUGUCUUGGUAGAGAAAAUCUUCACUGUUUUUUUUGUCUCGUGCUUCGUUUUGUUUUAACCUUAUCUUUUGUUUCUGUCAUUUGAUUCUGUUCUUGUUUGCAUGUAUUGGUCGCGACCAAAUCUGUUGCAACCAUGGAUAUUACUCCUAAAUUCGUCAAAUUCAUUGGUGAAUCGGAUUCGGAAGACAAUGAAUUGGUAAGUAGGUCUGUAUUCUUGGCUGCAUGUCAUUAUUCCAUUUGAUUUGACCUUAUUUUUUGCGAUUUUUUCUUAUGUGCAGCGUAUUCCAUCGUUGUUUUGGUCGAAAGUAUCGAAUCUCUUCCCUACGGUUGUACAAUUGUUCUUCCCUAAUGGUUUCAGCGUUUGGGUGGGAUAUGACAAUAAUGAUGAUGUGUUCAAAGGCGUGGGCAAGUUUUACCGUGAGUUUGAUUUGAAAAAAGGUCAAAUUAAUUGAACUGCUUGAUAUUGAUUCAGUGGUUAGGCAUGAUGGGGUACUGAAGUUUCUAUAUUUUCUUAGCUGUGGGCAGGAAAUUGUGGAUGAAGUGGUUAGUAUAGUUUUAAUCGAACUGUAGUGUAACUAAUUUUUGAAUAAUGGUAGUGAGAUGUCCUGGUUCUUAUAGUAAUUACUUUUAUAGGACAUGCUUAUCUCUGGUAGGACUGCAGGGUGUAUGUGGACUGAAUUCAUUGUUAACAUGACAUCCUGCUGAUUGCCUUAAUUUCUUCUUAAGAGCUAAACCCUGGUGGAAUGGGUUUAACCCUGGUGAUAUGUUGGAUCUCAACUGGGGAUGGUCAGCUGGGGGGUUUGAAGAGUUCCACAUGUCCUUACUCUUCUGAUUUCCAUCAUAUUUAUGUGGUGAAAAAUCUCUAAUGUCCGGGGUAUUGGUACAUAAAGAACCAAAAACAGUUGUUUUGUUUGUCAUUGGCCUUUUUCCCUUUCUGCGGUUGGAAAGUGAGGUUGAAAAACCAUCUCCAAUUUGUCCAAUGUUUUCCAUCGUAUGUAAAUCUAGAUUCACUGUGGGAAAAUACAUUAAGAAUGGAAAACAUGAAAAGGGGUCUUGUGCAUUUUUGGUCCUUUAACAAAAACAACAAAUUAACAGAUGUUUGGUAUAUAAUAUUGGACAUCUAUGUGUGAAAACUAAAUGGGAAAAAUGCAAGAACAUAUUUGUAUUUAAGAAUAAUCAAUGUACUGGAAACAUUUAUUUCAACAUAGGCAAGAACAUAUCUCAGAAAAUUUAUUACUCAAUCAUAACAAAUUAAAUAUAAGAGAUUCCGAUAUUUAUUGCUAUGGAAUAAAAAGGUAUGAGAGUGAUGAGUUACUAACAGGCGUCAGACACACUGUCCUUGAGACCUCCAUGUUGCAUUCGGCAGUCAUCCUCCGUAUUAGGUUAAGUUAAUGAAGCUGAAACCCUAUAAAAAUGUCAAAAUAAACAGAGUAUGUUAGGCAAUAGAUUAACAUGAACAAAGAUACUGGGUUUGAAGCAAAAAAACAUGAUUACAGCGGUGAAAUAAAGAAGAAACGAAUUAAAAAAUUACGAUGGAAAGAAGGAGAUCAGAAGAUGAAAACCAUUGACAAAUCCUUCUUUAGUGUUUACAGUGGAGUCUUGAACAAGAGAUAAAGAAAGAGGAGUAUAUCUCACCAUUAACCUACAAAUUGAAGUACAGAUUUUCAAAAUUAAGGGUUUGAUUUGAUGACACGUUUCUUUAAUUCAUACAAUUAAAAUUGGUCACCUAAUGAGACGAUCUAAAGCCACAGUUGGAGCUGAAACCUCUGCAGAAAAGUUAUAAAGAGUUUGCUUUUAAAAGUGCUUUUUCUGAUUUUAUGAUGUUAACGUGGCAAUGUUUGGAGCUCAAUGGCAACAUGUUGUAAAUUUUGUUAAAUUUAGGAGGACAUAAUGGUAAAAAGCUAAUGAAAUAGCCUUCAGGCAAUAUCAUUUAAAGGGAUGAGGUUAAUUAACUGUCGGGUCGGAUUAGAAAAAGAUCCAUAUGAUGAAUGGGUAUUAGCAGGAAUUUAGAAUAUAUUGAAGAAUACUAGCAAUCUUGCCCGUGCUUCGCACACGGGUAAUGAUUAUUUUUUUAAUUUUUAAUCAAUUAUUUGUAAUCUUUGUUAAAUUGUAACACGUGGACAACAAUUAUUAUUCUUUGAACCAUAUUUUAUUAUUCAGCUUAGAUGUUUGACACUAGUUCUGAGCAUCAGUCUUCUAAUUUGAUUCCAAGAAAAAAACAAAUUUCAUGCACAUACGGGAUAUCACACAGAGGACAACUGGUUUUAUGCUUGAGCAAAAUACGGAAACCUGAACAAAACAUAAGUCUAUUCAACUGCCUACACAUUUCAAGAUAAGAACCCAGACUAAUAUACGUACAGUUCCUCGGAUAAUCUUCAAUCACGCAAAUCAAAUAAUCCACACUGGUUACAUUGCUUCCCACAGAACCUGCAGACUUAAUCACUCUAUGAACCAAUGCAUUGAAGUCUCUUUAAUUUAUUAACAGCAACACAGAGGAUCAUCUUAUUUUCAAGCAUGUGCAACACUGUUGUUUAAACUGAUAAGUAGCCAAAAACAAAAUACUUCAUCCAAACACAAAGGCAUGAAUCAAGAUUAGGGAUGCAAACAAAAUACUUCAUCCUGCGUGGGUAAUGUUAGAAUCAAGAUCCACUGGUUCUACAGUCUCCUUAACUUGCACUUUCUUUUCAUUAUCAGUCACCACCGUAUUACUUUCUUCAUCCAUAUUAGCACAUACAUGCAAUAUACAUUAUCAGUCUCCUUAAAGUUAUAAUCGAUGCACAUACAUGCAAUAUACACAGAGAUCAAUUCAUCAGAAUGAGAAAGUUGAAUGCUUCUAUCCAAGAUUUCUGAUGUUGUUUCUGAAUGAUAAAAUGAAUGAUGCUGAUAGGAACAUGUACGUCGAUUCUCCUGUUGUUCCUAUUCAGAGAACUUGUGCUAAGAUCCAGACCAGGCUGGUAAACAAGAAAAAGCAUGACAAUGUGCCACUGGUGGUGACUCCUUUCAUGCUAGAGCAAUUCAGUGUUCCAUUCCAACCUAUUCAAGUUCCUGAACCUCUACAACAGCAACAAUAUCAAGCUCAACAACAGGCUCAUCCAGACAUUCAACCAGAACAACCGCAACAACAAUCACCUCCACAAAACCCUCAACCACUACAACUUCUGCAAGACUAUCAAUCAUCCAGCCAAUCCUCACAUUACUCUCCCUACAACCCUCCUUACAAUUCACCACAUCAAUCACCUCACCAAUCAUAACACCAAUCCCCUCCACAUUACAACUUCUUCCCAGACCAACAAGCCUCCAUUCUUCCCUCUCAAUCUGAACCAACACCUUCACCUACACAUACACAUACCAUUCCUCAACCACAAUCUACCUCUCAGCCACUGCCUGCUGAUUCUGCUAUCAAUCCAGGCCUACAGGACUUCAGGGCUGAUUUACAGGUAGCUCAGGUACUUUCUAAUCUCACUGAUACCUUUAAUAUUGAUAUUGCAGAUUUUGAUUGUGAUAUUGGAUUUGAUUUCCAGACUCCCAGCAUUGAACCUGAAAACACCCAGGUUCAUAUCCAAGCUGACGUUUCCAUUUCAACAACUGAUUCUUCAUCAAACACUUCAAACAACACUACUUCAACCCCUGUUGUUAGAAAGGUAGCCCGGAAACGGAGUGGGAGUGCAAUUUUGAGAGAUCCCGCAGCUCUGUCUCAUAAGAAGCAAAGGGUGGCAGAACCAGAGACAACUGCAGCUGCAUCCAUUUCCACCCAAAAAGAUUUGGACACUGAAAUGGUAAAUAUACAGUCUCUAGAUUCAUUCUCUCCACAGAAUGCAUUUAUUGAAAUUGGCCAUCCGACCGCGGUAUCCUGUAAAGAGUCAAGCACACAACUAGCACUCACGCUAGUAAACACUGAACCUUUGUCUUCUGAUUCUUCACUUAGAGAGAGCACAGAAUUUCAAAACAUGUCAUAUGAAAAAUUUUCUGAUCACUCUUUCUUUUUGGAUCAGGAUCUACUUGGCAACCUGCAAGUACAUCAGCCUUCACAGGCAUCUGAAGGACAGUNNNNNNNNNNNNNNNNNNNNNNNNNNNNNNNNNNNNNNNNNNNNNNNNNNNNNNNNNNNNNNNNNNNNNNNNNNNNNNNNNNNNNNNNNNNNNNNNNNNNNNNNNNNNNNNNNNNNNNNNNNNNNNNNNNNNNNNNNNNNNNNNNNNNNNNNNNNNNNNNNNNNNNNNNNNNNNNNNNNNNNNNNNNNNNNNNNNNNNNNNNNNNNNNNNNNNNNNNNNNNNNNNNNNNNNNNNNNNNNNNNNNNNNNNNNNNNNNNNNNNNNNNNNUAUUUCUGAAUGAUAAGAUGAAUGAAGCUGAUAGGAACAUGUACGUCGAUUCUCCUGUUGUUCCUAUUCAGAGAACUUGUGCUAAGAUCCAGACCAGGCUGGUAAACAAGAAAAAGCAUGACAAUGUGCCACUGGUGGUGACUCCUUUCAUGCUAGAGCAAUUCAGUGUUCCAUUCCAACCUAUUCAAGUUCCUGAACCUCUACAACAGCAACAAUAUCAAGCUCAACAACAGGCUCAUCCAGACAUUCAACCAGAACAACCGCAACAACAAUCACCUCCACAAAACCCUCAACCACUACAACUUCUGCAAGACUAUCAAUCAUCCAGCCAAUCCUCACAUUACUCUCCCUACAACCCUCCUUACAAUUCACCACAUCAAUCACCUCACCAAUCUCAACACCAAUCCCCUCCACAUUACAACUUCUUCCCAGACCAACAAGCCUCCAUCCUUCCCUCUCAAUCUGAACCAACACCUUCACCUACACAUACACAUACCAUUCCUCAACCACAAUCAACCUCUCAGCCACUGCCUGCUGAUUCUGCUAUCAAUCCAGGCCUACAGGACUUCAGGGCUGAUUUACAGGUAGCUCAGGUACUUUCUAAUCUCACUGAUACCUUUAAUAUUGAUAUUGCAGAUUUUGAUUGUGAUAUUGGAUUUGAUUUCCAGACUCCCAGCAUUGAACCUGUAAACACCCAGGUUCAUAUCCAAGCUGACGUUUCCAUUUCAACAACUGAUUCUUCAUCAAACACUUCAAACAACACUACUUCAACCCCUGUUGUUAGAAAGGUAGCCCGGAAACGGAGUGGGAGUGCAAUUUUGAGAGAUCCCGCAGCUCUGUCUCAUAAGAAGCAAAGGGUGGCAGAACCAGAGACAACUGCAGCUGCAUCCAUUUCCUCCCAAAAGGAUUUGGACACUGAAACGGUAAAUAUACAGUCUCUAGAUUCAUUCUCUCCACAGAAUGCAUUUAUUGAAAUUGGCCGUCCGACCGCGGUAUCCUGUAAAGAGUCAAGCACACAACUAGCACUCACGCUAGUAAACACUGAACCUGUGUCUUUUGAUUCUUCACUUAGAGAGAGCACAGAAUUUCAAAACAUGUUAUAUGAAAAUCUUUCUGAUCACUCUUUCUUUUUGGAUCAGGAUCUACUUGGCAACCUGCAAGUACAUCCGCCUUCACAGGCAUUCGGAGGACAAUUUGUUUCUUCACCUCCUACAGUUCCAUCUCAGGGAACUAUGGUUGUAUAUACAGGUACUGGUGACGGUGUGACAAACACGAGUGAAAUCAGGCAAACACCGAGCGAAACACAUGCACGAGAGGAUAGUGAAAAAUCUUUGAGUGUUCGUGAGGUGAGUGCACACACCAACACAGAUCUGUUACAGGAACAAAUGGCUGCUCUGAAAGCUGAGAUAGAAAGGUUGAAUGCUGAGAAUGCCAGAUUCAGAAGUGGAGAGCUGGUGACUCUGCAAGAGAAAGUUGUUGAUCCCUCCUUUACUUCUCUGAAAAAGGAAUUGGAUGAUCAUGUAAAGCGCAUUCAUUCUAGGAUGGACAAAUUUGAUAAGACUCAGGAGCUCUGUCUGACAAAGCUUGACAACUUGGAGCAAACUCUGGCUCAAGUUGUUCAACACUUAAAGAUUAAUCCGUCGACAUCUCAGUCUACUCCAGAGGAUCCCUCAACUAAGGGGGAGAAGGAUAAGGAUGAUAAGGAUGACAAAGAUGAUCACAGCAAUGCUGAUGCUGCUGAUAGGAGUAAUAAGGAUGGAGAUACUGAUAGGAGUGAUAAGGCUGAUAGGAGUGAUAAGGGUGGAGAUGGAGCAAGUGAAAAGGAUUCUUCUGCAGCUGACAAGUCUAAAGGCAAAAUGCCUGAAUCUGAGAACAUCUUCACUAAUCAGGAUUAUGACAACAUUCCUGAAGAUGUUGAUGAUGAUGAUGCAUUUGAUUCUGCUAAUCUAUAUCACAUUCUAAUUGUAAAUACAAAGCAUAUUCCAAUAAAAACCUAAAUUAAUAUCAAUUAAGAUAAGCUAUAUCAUGUUUUAAUUGAAAGACUGUUAUAUAGUUUUUCAUGCCCUGUCUGAAAGGCAUAUGUUCAGCCUAUUUGUAUUUAAAGAGGUACAACUCAACUCAGAUAAGAAAGCUCAGUAAAUAGCAAGUCAUCGGAAUCCGUACGAAGAACGUCAAAUGAUUUAUGGGAAUUAUAUGUCAGAUAAAUUCCAGGAUGCUGCUGCACACCACUGAAAGAAGUUCAUUAAUAUGUUCAAGCCUCAGUGCACAAAUAAUCUUUUGUGGCACGUCCAGUGUGACAGCCCUCAAAUCCGGGGGUCUGGAUUUGUUGCCACUAAAACAAAAAUCAUUUAAAAACCUGUAUUUGUGGAAAAAAGUAAAAUAGAUAUUUGAAAAUCUGAACACUUUAAGAGAUUUUUAAAUCAAAAUCACUUUGACCCCCUAAAAACAGGAUCGCUAAUAGGUUAGAGCAUUGAAAUCAGAACCAAAACUUACAAUCUUAUUACAACUUAAACUACAUUAUCAGUUAAACUCGAUAAGAAGAGUAACUGAUAACCAAAUAAAUAAAUAUAUUUACAACUAAACUGAAAUGAAACAAUUCUAACCAGAACUACUCUUGUAAACAUCUCCCUGGCAAUCUCGCCUAGCAUCAAUCUUACGCGCAGCUUACACAAGUGAUCAUCUUAAUCCCUAGCUGAAAGGGUUAGAAAAAAAUAGCAAGGGUGAGCGAAAAUGCUCAGCAAAGUAAUAUGAAAGGCAAGAGCCACAAGAUAUGAUUUCUUUUUAAUUAAAUUAGAGUAUUUGAAAUAAAGCAAACUUUUGAAGUAAAUCAUAACAGUUGUGUAACUCAAAAUUUUAUCAAACAUAUAAAUCCAUAUGCUUGUAAAUUCACAGAAUAUAUUUGACAGUAAACAAAAGCUAUCACAAGCUUAAACAAUAAUGACCAGGUUUUAAACAACGGCGUACUAUCACAGCUGAUCAGACCAUGUGAUAAUACCGGGCAUGUUUCGUGGAAACAUGCCUCAAAAUAGGUACCAAUACAAGGCAACACAUUUGCCUUUGUCAGAAAAGUAUUAUAAACUUUCAAUAAUACCCAAAUAGCCCUCCGCUGGACCGCCGUCUCGGUCUCUUACGCAAAAACAAAGAAAUCUUCCGAUUUCUUCCAGAAGAAGAUGACUAAUCAUCUAUUUUGAAAACAAUAUUUUGCUGGUCUAUCUGGCUGGAGUAUUAAAUAGCCCCUUAUGCCAUAAAAUCAUCUUUCAAAACCUUUCUGAAAACUCUUUGUUUUCAAAUUCAAAAUACUGUCAAAAAUCAAAUUUUAUCAAAGUCUGAGUACAAUUUAAAAAUCCACCGUAAUACGGCUCAAAGGAAAAACAAAGCUAUUUAGUUAUUUAAAAUCCAGGGUUUAUGUCUGGGACAGAAGACCAGGCAUAUAUUGUAAUGUCGAAAUAUGACUGCUAUAGAGUCAUCAAUAGUUUUCAAACUGUAAAAGAACUCAGACAAUAAUUUCCAGAAAACUGAUUAAAAUAAUCUGAAAACUUUUCAAAUAAAGUUGUCACUAUUCAUAUACUAAAGACAUUCGAUAUUUUCAAUCACAGGAUAACACAUGAAAGCAUUUGCACUUUUAAAUAUCAGAAAUCGAUAAUCAUGCUUGCAGGAAGUACAAGUCAUAAAUAUAAAACUUGUAUUAUCAAAAGAGAAUUGAAAUAAUCGCUCUUUAAAUAAAAGAGAAGAAUAGGAAUACUUGCCUUUGACACAAAACAGGUGACACACAGUCACACUACUCAAAUCCUAGGAUGGCCUCAAUUGCUAACUUUGCAAUCACUACACUCUAUUGGCCUAUCUCACGGCACAAUAUCGCCUUAUCAAACUAUUUCCGACUUGGCUUGCAACAAUUCGCUUGCUUCUGAAAGUCGUUGAAUGCACGCGUCUCGAUAGACUAUAUAUAAAACAAUAUAAUAUUCAGUCGAAGAACAAUCCCGAGUGUCGGCUAAUUCGCAGAAUCGAAAUUAUAUUAAUACCCUUCGCAAUAUAAACAUAUACAAAUAAUAUAAACACAUAAUAGCGGAAAGUUAAAUAAGUAAUCACAUAACACGUAAUUUACAUGCUUUAAUAUUCAUAAAAAUAUAAUCUAAUAACUCCUGUAUAUAAUCUCAUACUUGAUUAUAUACAAACGCUAAUAGCCUCAAUAAUACAUCCCUGGAUAAAAUCAAAAUCCGAAUUACAAGCCCAACUGUAAUUCAGUCACAUCUCAAAUAAUCUUAGAAUCUCAUCAAACUAAAUUAAUAAAAUUAUAUAAUUUUGGACAUCAUGUACCUUAAAAUUGAGCAAAUCCCAAAUCAAUAACACAACAUUCUAUGUCCAAAUAAUAUAAUUUAUUCCGCUAUUUCAAUUAAAUAUACAAUUAAUCCUCAUAGCAGAAAAAAAAAAUUCUUGAAAUAAAAAUAAUUCCUCAAACCAAAGAAUCAAUCCUCAACAUAUCAAUUUAAUCCUCAGAAUAACCAAUCAUUCUUCUUUAUAAAGUGGACUAUCCCGGGGUCGCAGCUCUUCAAAAAUCAACAAUAAAAUCUCAAUUCAACUCUCUAUUUUCUGGUAGUCUUCAAAAUUCCAUAACUUAACAUCUUCACAUAAAACCUUUUUCCAUUUUAACCUCUGACAUAGUGUCUUGCUAUCCUUAAAAUUUCAGCUUAAACCGGUUAGAAUAGCUAGGUCAAAUACUCGCUCAAAGAUGGUACUCAAAAUUAUCUCAACAAGGCAAAACAGGAUUUUUAUCAUUGUCACAGCCACACUCCAAAAUUCACUAUAAAUCGUAGGUUAACUAUUUUGACAUGAAACCACCUCUGGGAUCUUCUAUACUCAGUACACUAUCAUCCCUCAAAAUUUCAAUUUGAAUUAAAGUGUUUAGCUAGGUGAAACAUUGCUCCAAAGUUCAGUGUUCAGUAAAUUCGUAGGUUAUUAACAACCCAUACUAAAACUGCCAUAACUCAUAGCUCGUUACUCCGAUUCACUCAAAAUCAGCGCCCAAGUAAACUAGAAAUCAUACACUACAACUUUCAGUAAGUAGUCGAUCAUCCAAUCACAAUAAAACUGCUCCGAAACACUGCUCCAAAAACAGGACAGCGACUGAAUUUAAAAGUUUAUACCUUUGAUUGUUAAUGUUGCAACCUCUGUUUACAAACCAACUCUCGCCAUACUCCUCUGUACCAUUUGUAAUCUUCAUCAGCCUAUAACCUCCUGCAACACUCCAUCUUCCAAGUCUGUCUCCAAUUAAAACCUCGUCACCCCGGCACCUCCAUGGGCCACCCUCCUUCAGCACUGCCAUAGCUGUGAUCAUCUCCCUAAUGUCGCCCCAAUUAUACACAGUCACACAAGAUGAACACACACACAACUGAAACCUCUCCCUCUCCUCAUCUGAACAGACCCAUAUGCACAAAUAUCCGCGACAACAGCCACCGUCUGAAAACAACCUCGCCGCCUCCGACUACACCUUCCAACCAUCAUCUUAUCUACUGGCGGCAUCCCGCCGCCUCUCCAACCACCAGUAGCCAAACUCCACCUCCCCUGUAUUGGAAUUAUCACAGCCACCCAAAACCAAUCGCCUCCAUCUCCACUGUCUAAUCAACACCAUCAACGGCCCCUUUAUCCUUGUUUUCAAACCCCCAAUCAACCACUACACCUCCACAUACAAGCAACCCCACAUACUCUGUUUAUCUCACAGGCAUAGCUGCCACUUUGAUUCAACAGACUCACCACAAAACUCUCAACCACCGCCAAACUUCCACCUUUUACGCGACGCCACCGCGUCCUACCCUCUCUGUGCUGACGACGCAGCCUCGGUGAACGCCCAACCAUCAUUCACAACCCCGCUCCACCAUUGAUUCAAGACAAAAUCUCCCAACCCCGGCAAAUACACAAAAAUUAUACACAGAGAUAUACAUAUAUAUACACAACACCCUCACCCGAUUGAAGCUUGAAAUCAGAUGGAAAGGAGAUAACAAAUCAAAACCCUAAUUUUGCUAUGCUUUUGCUCGCACAAAACCACCGCCUUUUGUUUCUGAGUACAAGUCUCUGUAUGUUUUUCUGUUUUUAGUCCUUAUCCGGUUAUAUCGUGAAUCACAGCUACGUUUCAGCCACGUCCCAGCUACGUCUCG
This 11934-nucleotide long non-coding RNA is filed under the name Daucus carota (carrot). RNAcentral's name for it is "long non-coding RNA (DCAR_LNC004752)". Lineage: Eukaryota; Viridiplantae; Streptophyta; Magnoliopsida; Apiales; Apiaceae. The record is from RNAcentral.